RNAcentral lists this ribosomal RNA (364 nucleotides) under uncultured rumen bacterium clone 32. RNAcentral's name for it is "bacterial SSU rRNA". It matches the Rfam family "Bacterial small subunit ribosomal RNA", at positions 19 to 363 of the family's 1533-position model. The record is from RNAcentral.
UUGGCUCARGAUGAACGCUGGCGGCGUGCUUAACACAUGCAAGUCGAACGAAGCGCUUUAUUUGAUUUUCUUCGGGAAUGAUUAUUUUGUGACUGAGUGGCGGACGGGUGAGUAACGCGUGGGUAACCUGCCUCGCACAGGGGGACAACAGCUGGAAACGGCUGCUAAUACCGCAUAAGCGCACAGCUUCGCAUGGAGCAGUGUGAAAAACUCCGGUGGUGUGAGAUGGACCCGCGUCUGAUUAGGUAGUUGGUGGGGUAACGGCCUACCAAGCCGACGAUCAGUAGCCGACCUGAGAGGGUGACCGGCCACAUUGGGACUGAGACACGGCCCAAACUCCUACGGGAGGCAGCAGUGGGGAAUA